ACAGGAGUCAACACACAGCACCAGCCUCAAGCAUUUACUCAGUCUGGGGUGUUAGGCACAGGAAAACUAGCAACAUCCUUCCUCUAGCCAAGGACCUUGUAAUCUUGUUAGAGAGACAAGAAUCUGGGCUCUUAAACAAUCAACGUCCUGUAUAAGGGACAAAAAGGGAAGACACAGGGAACAAAUAAAAGCCAUUUCCUUUUUGAGAACUUUCUUACCUCCAGAACACAAGGAAGUGGGCUUUGGCAAUGAUCUCGGCAGAAACCUCAGCCACAGACCACUGGGCGAUCAAGAAUGCUGCUGUGGCUUCCUGGGGACCCACAGCGCCUGUCCACAUGGAUCAAAUAACUCAAGUGAGUCAAACUUCCUCUCCCUGAACUGUGCAGACGUGGCCCCAGGCUUGGAGGCUUCUGGAAACCCUCAGAUGUCGAGUAUCGACUGGACAGAGCAUCCAGGUGUCCGGCUGAACUUUUCUGUAUUCACGCAGAUGUUCUAAGUCACAGGCAGUGGACGGAGUUCCUUGGAAUACUCACAAGGCCUCAGUCGUUACAGGAGCUGGAUCCUCUCCAGUGGAAGAGACAUUUUUUGUGGACCAGAGACCUGAGAGAGAAGCAGAAAGAAGUGUUCAGCAACGUGCUGGGGGCCCGCAUCCUAGGGAUGAAUCAUGCCAGUGAUUGGUUUGGGGUGGCCAUGUGACCCAGGUCUGGCCAGUGAAAUGGAAGGGAAAGUCUUUGGGGUAGAGCUGGACCACUGGGAAACAUUUUCCUCUCUGACAAACUAAAGAGUGACGUUAGGAGAAGACUUUCUUUGCUUCAUGUUUUGCAUGCUGUCGUGUGUUUUCAAGCACCCAUGGCCUCUUUUUUCUCUCUAAUCUUACCUUCUAUGACAUUCCUCCUCCAUCACACCAAUCCAGCUACUGGUCUCCUUGCUUCCCUAGAACAUACUAAGAACACACCUGCCUCAGGGCCUUUGCACUUGCUAUUCCCCCCCACCUAGAACACCCUUCCUCCAGAUCUUCACUGGAUUUUUCUUUCACAUCUUCAGGUCUUUGUUCAAAUAUCAGCUUCUCAGUGAGGAUAUUUUAAAAAUAUCCUUAUCCUUCUCAUUACCUUUAUUCUUUUUAUUGUUUUCUAUAACAUGUCACUAAUAUAC
RNAcentral lists this long non-coding RNA (1152 nucleotides) under Equus caballus (horse). RNAcentral describes it as "lncRNA (ENSECAG00000030957.3)". Lineage: Eukaryota; Metazoa; Chordata; Mammalia; Perissodactyla; Equidae. The record is from RNAcentral.